AGUGAACGCUGGCGGCAGGCCUAACACAUGCAAGUCGAGCGGCAGCGGGUCCUUCGGGAUGCCGGCGAGCGGCGGACGGGUGAGGAAUGCAUCGGAAUCUGCCCUGUCGUGGGGGAUAACCUAGGGAAACUUAGGCUAAUACCGCAUACGACCCACGGGUGAAAGCGGGGGAUCGCAAGACCUCGCGCGAUAGGAUGAGCCGAUGUCCGAUUAUCUAGUUGGCGGGGUAAAGGCCCACCAAGGCGACGAUCGGUAGCUGGUCUGAGAGGAUGAUCAGCCACACUGGGACUGAGACACGGCCCAGACUCCUACGGGAGGCAGCAGUGGGGAAUAUUGGACAAUGGGCGCAAGCCUGAUCCAGCCAUGCCGCGUGGGUGAAGAAGGCCUUCGGGUUGUAAAGCCCUUUUGUCCGGGAAGAAAUCGUCUGGGCUAAUACCCCGGGCGGAUGACGGUACCGGAAGAAUAAGCACCGGCUAACUUCGUG
This 484-nucleotide ribosomal RNA is filed under the name uncultured bacterium. RNAcentral's name for it is "partial 16S ribosomal RNA". It matches the Rfam family "Bacterial small subunit ribosomal RNA", at positions 30 to 507 of the family's 1533-position model. The record is from RNAcentral.